RNAcentral lists this long non-coding RNA (452 nucleotides) under Salmo salar (Atlantic salmon). RNAcentral's name for it is "lncRNA (ENSSSAG00000089557.1, ENSSSAG00000090210.1)". The record is from RNAcentral. Lineage: Eukaryota; Metazoa; Chordata; Actinopteri; Salmoniformes; Salmonidae.
CAAGAUUUCUGCCUUACCCAAAACUUCCACAGCACUUUCCACCGAGGAGAAGAGCAUGGUACAGUACAGACAAUCAGUACCAGUCGAAGAGAGAGGAUGACAAAACUGUUGUAGGAGUUAUAGGUCGAUAGCUUGUCUGCACAGGAGAUUAACAGAAAAAACACCAUUCAAGAGUCGAGCUUGUUCCCUGGCCAGUAUCACCAGAAUCAGGGCUUGUCCAGGGACAGGCAGAUCCACAGAGGCCCCAGCACCACCAGUCUGAUAACACAGGAAUGCUAUGAAGAGUGGGGAGGACCUUAUUCUGCAGGAAGUUAGGGCUACUAUCUGCCCUGCCACAAAAGGACCAGCUGACAUCAUGUCAGGGAUUCUCUCGUUAACACAGGUGUGAGUGUUGACAAGGACAAAGCUGGAGAUCACUCUGUCAUGCUGUUUGAGUUCGAAUAACAGACUGG